GAUGGCUCUACAGUUAAGAACACUCAUUGAUCUUCCAGAGGACCUGGGUUCAAUUCCCAGCACCCACGUGGCAGCUCACGACUGUCUGUAAACUCAGUUACAGGGGACUUGACAUCCUCACAGAGACAUGCAGGCAAAACAUUAAAUUACAAAACAAAACCCACCAGAGAAUGUUCUGGGGGUUGUGAGGUCUAGUGGUUCUCUAUCCCAAAGAUUGUUCUUUACCCAGUUUCACAUGUGCCCAUAACUCUUCGAAUACCUGGGCAGAAUCUUCUGGAGAACACGUCCUGUUUUCUCCCGGCAGAUUGUGUCUUACAUCCCAAGAGUCCAGCCACACUGGACUCCUGGGUCCAUUUCCACUUUGGGAGACCACUAGGCUUUGCUCCUCCCUCUCCAUGUGGUUACCUAGAAACUCCAGUAAUAACCCAAAGUAAUAACUAAUCCACCAAAUUAGUCUCUCAUCUCACCAUCCUUUGCUUCUAAUAUGUACUCACUACUAAUUCAGAGAGGUGAGACCUGGUCCCCGUAACUCCACUUUGACUGAAAAACUUCUGAGUGAUUAAAAAGCCAGCAUAUUAAGCUAAUUAAGAAAAAUGCCAAAGAGAAGAAUGUUUGGUAUUGUGAGAGGUGAGUGGGUAGGGGAGAACCUGGGUCCAGUGGUAGAGUUAACUUUAGACAGAAGCACCCAGCUAUCUCAAGGCAAAGUAACAAGCCAACAUAUGGACACUUAGGGUUAUAGCUGUAUUCUUCUAAGUGUAUAUGAUUGUGUGUAUGCAUCACCAUUUACUCAAGUUUCCCAGGGAGGGUUUCAUCGAGAGACUUAGUUUGAGGAAAGAUACACAUGAGAAUAUAACUAUGAAGAACUGGAUGUACUUGAGAUGAUAAGAGCAGACGGUUGGAGCAGUGUGACCACAGUGGAGCCUCCUGUGAGGACAGAGAUCCAGUUAGCACUGGCUGAGUUUGGACUUUUCUUCUGAAUGCACUGAGAGCCUAUGAGGAGUUCUACGCAAAAAGCAACAUGACGGCUAAGACUAGUGUGGAAACAAGGACCAUACAGUUUUAACUCUUAAAUGCUUUACUGGGUUGGGGUUUUUGUUGUUUGAGACAGAUUAUGUAGACCAAACUGGCCUGAAACUCAAGAUCUGCUGGGAUUAAAGGCAUCUACCAGCACCACAACUAUACUGUGUGUAAACUUUAUGCAUGUUUAAGCCAUAUUUUUAUAUGGUUUAUAUACAUAUAUACACAUGUAUUUGUGUAUCUUAGGGUUUCUAUUGUGAUACAACACCAGAACCAAAGGCAACUUUGGAAGUAAACAGUCCAUUCUGCUUAGAUUUACACAUCACAGUUCAUCGUGGAAGAACUCGGGGCGGGAACUCAAACUGGGCAG
This 1387-nucleotide long non-coding RNA is filed under the name Rattus norvegicus (Norway rat). RNAcentral describes it as "long non-coding RNA NONRATT013251". The record is from RNAcentral. Lineage: Eukaryota; Metazoa; Chordata; Mammalia; Rodentia; Muridae.